Molecule: long non-coding RNA, 2555 nt
Organism: Lolium perenne
Lineage: Eukaryota; Viridiplantae; Streptophyta; Magnoliopsida; Poales; Poaceae
Source: RefSeq, a predicted model, not a curated record
UUGAUUUUUUUUUAGAUUACCAAUAGGUUGACACGUAUGUGAUUUUGUGUUUGUUACCGCUGUGCAUUUCUUGUGUGCAAUUUGGGUGUCCUUUUGCACUUUCUCCUUUUGUAAAUUUAGUGUUGUGCUCCCUUUUGUUACGGGUGGAUGUAGCAUUUUUAUUGAACCGCCGCUUUGACUUUUUCUGGAGAGAUCGUCUGCGUCCCUCGACUUCCCCCCGCGGUCUCUCUUUCUUUGCCCGUUCUUUUCUUCCUCCUUCACAGGACUACGCGGCGAAUCUCUGGCGAGUCACGGCCCCAUCGUCUUCCUCUGGUUUCUCCGGUGUCCCUCCACCCGCCAUCCUCCACGUCCGGCGCCACUGCCUGCUCUCUUCCGUUUUCCCGGCACCGCUGUGCUCGGCCCGCCCAUAGAUUCUUUAGAUUUUCUCUUCCUCUUUCCAUCCGUUUUGACCAGAUCGAGGGAAAUCAAGAAUCCUCUAGAUUUAUUCAGAUCAAUUUCAUCGUUCUCCAUCUCCUUCGUCUUCUCGCUGCCCGAGCUCCUUUCUAGCCGAUUCAUAUCUAGAUCCUGUGCCCGUACCGCCUCCUAUGGUCACCGGGUAAGGGUACUGUGGAGGUCUGGGUUCCUUGACUCAGCAACUUGCUCUUAUGAGGCACAGAGGCGGCGACGCGGAAUGUGUCAUUGCCGGCGACGGGGUGCGAUUGGGGGCAACAUGCGGAGGGGUGGAGUCCUUGGAGGGGACGAGGUCGAGUGGCUGAGCUUGGUCCCCGCGUUUGCCUCCAGCGAGAAGAGUAUUGUGGGUGGCACAGCGGCGGGGAGAACCUGCUGCGGAUUCUAGACGUGCGUGUGCCUUUUCACGCCUCCCGUCGGUUUUCCUUGCCCUCCACCUCGCCGCGGCGGUCGCCUGUCGUCGUCUUCUGGUGGCUGUGGAGUAUAGAGGAUCCUGCUUCCUUAGAGCUGUUCGCUGAGACGACCACCUCCUGGUGAAUCCAGAGGAGCAGAUGCCGCGCGCCUGGACCGUGCUUGACGCGGACCGGAUGGGGGUCGCCCCGUGGCAGGCUGGCAGCGCCGACGUAUACUUCCGCUACCUGCCUGGAAAUCGAAGCGGAACCCCAAGUGCGUCGAUCAGACGCCAAAUCCAUGGAGGAAAUGGAGCAGAGGCGGCCCCACUUUGUCGAAAUUCUCAGGCAAGCCUCCAUCCAGUACGACGACCCCCAUCCUCAGUUAGCGUGGACACGCCCGCUCCGUAUCCUAGCCAAGGCGGCUGGUGCAGGCACAGAAGGGGUCGACAGGUUGUUGCGGUGGUGUAGUGCCGCUGCGACCAAGGAUGUUGGCGGUCAAAGGUGACAGUGUGGAGGGGCUCGAGCUUGCGGGACGGUACGCCGCCAAGGUGGUGUUGAGCACUUUAAAACAAUUUUCAAUCGAAUCAGCCACCUCCAUCGCCUUGCAAAUUUCCGUAGGCUCAAACACUUUUCGGAGCACUUCAUGUCUUACAGACAUUUAGCCAAUUGUGUUACUUUGAUUUCACAUCAAGGCUUGAAAUCAUUCGGCUAUGUGGAUGAUUACUGAUAGGCCUAAAUUUCCUGACCGGGUUCUUCUCAUAGGAAUCUACAGAACUUUCAGGUGAAAAAAAACUAGAACACCAAUGAGAUUUUUGGAUGGGAGUCACAAGCAUUAAUGCAAUGUUAAGUUCGCCAAACCUACGAAUUAAACAGGCAAGGGGUUUUCUUAAAAGUUAUAAAAAUAUGCAUUACUAUUCAAUUGAAGGGGUGAGGCAAGUUUCAUGCUAGGUAGUCAACUUCAGUUUGUAGCCUGCAUAUUCUGUUGCUUUUAAUUAAAAGCAUUAUAACUAACUUAUGUAUUUUUCUUUUCUUUUUAUACAUCACAGAUGAUUUUGUAUUAGAACAAUAUGAAACAGAGAUUACAACUGAAUCAACCCCAUUUUCCGUUUCACUUGCAAGACACCUACACACUGUUAUGUGGUUCUGAGAUGUAUGGAGCGUUUUGGUGUUCUCAUUACAAUGAGCAAAAACUGACCAAAAAGUGCUAAAUAUGCAAGUCUUGACGCUAAAAGAUUUAUCAUCCCAAGAUUCAACUGGAAGGUUCUUGUGUGUGCUGCUCGAAUAUGAAAGUGUAGGCAUCAGAAAAACAAAGCAGAACUUAUAUGAGCUAGAGUUUAUUGUCGAUGAGGCUGAAGAUCAAAGAAGAAUUGAAGCACAUAUCAGGCGUGCCACCAAGGAGUAGGUUAUCCCCAACACGGUUGGCAAAGGCAUGGAAAUUAGCCUCCUUUUCUCUGACAAACAAGAGGUGACUUUGGUAAAUACUGAUUGCCCUCCAAGUAGAAAUAAUAAGGUUUUCCAAAAAUUGUGUUCUAUGUUUUUACGUCCCAAAUACCAAGUGUAAUGUGCAUACGAUGGCUUCCAGGGAUUGCAUAGUCAGUUUUUAUCUUUGAUGGUGUAAUAAAAGUUGUGACGAGAUCCCAUACAUGUACCACAUGCAUCAACAUUGUUGCCUUUUCUUUUUGCGAAUUCAUCUACAUUGUUGCUUGAUAGAUGAUU